This 2689-nucleotide ribosomal RNA is filed under the name Eulimnadia texana. RNAcentral describes it as "bacterial LSU rRNA". It matches the Rfam family "Bacterial large subunit ribosomal RNA". The record is from RNAcentral. Lineage: Eukaryota; Metazoa; Arthropoda; Branchiopoda; Diplostraca; Limnadiidae.
UCAAGUGCUAAGGCAUUGGUGGAUGCCUUGGCACUGAGAGGCGAUGAAGGACGUGAUACGCUGCGAUAAGCCGUGGGAGCUGCGAAUGAGCUUUGAUCCGGAUCUCCGAAUGGGGAAACCCACUUCGCUGUCAAGCAGUAUCGCUGCGAGCUGUUUGCAAGAGUCACAUAGGUAUUUACCUGAAUACAUAGGGUAGAAGCGAACCCAGGGAACUGAAACAUCUAAGUACCUGGAGGAAAGGACAUCAACCGAGACUCCGCUAGUAGUGGCGAGCGAACGCGGACCAGGCCAGUGCUAUCUGAGAUAAGCGGAACAGUCUGGAAAGCGGCCAUAGCGGGUGAUAGCCCCGUACGGGUAGAACGCAGUGACAUCGAGUAGGCGGGACACGUGAAAUCCUGUCUGAACAUGGGGGACCACCCUCCAAGCCUAAGUACUCCUCAGUGACCGAUAGUGAACAAGUACCGUGAGGGAAAGGUGAAAAGCACCCCGACGAGGGGAGUGAAACAGACCUGAAACCGGAUGCCUACAAACAGUCGGAGGCGCAAGGCUGACGCGUACCUUUUGUAUAAUGGGUCAGCGACUUAGUCUGACGAGCAAGCUUAAGCCGAUAGGUGUAGGCGCAGCGAAAGCGAGUCUGAACAGGGCGUUAGUUCGUGAUUAGACCCGAAACCGAGUGAUCUAGCCAUGAGCAGGUUGAAGGUGGUAACACCACUGGAGGACCGAACCGUCACUGUUGAAAAGUUCGGAUGACUUGUGGCUAGGGGUGAAAGGCCAAUCAAACUCGGAAAUAGCUGGUUCUCCGCGAAAGCUAUUUAGGUAGAGCGUCGAUGAAUACUCCGGGGGUAGAGCACUGGAUGGGCUAGGGGUCACCGUCUUACCAAUCCUAACCAAACUCCGAAUACCGGAAGUACUAGUCGGCAGACACACGGCGGGUGCUAACGUCCGUCGUGAAGAGGGAAACAACCCUGACCUCCAGCUAAGGUCCCCAAGUCAUGGCUAAGUGGGAAAGGAUGUGGGAUCCCAAAACAACCAGGAGUUGGCUUAGAAGCAGCCAUCCUUUAAAGAAAGCGUAACAGCUCACUGGUCUAAUAAGGGUCCUGCGCCGAAAAUGUAACGGGGCUCAAGCCAUGCACCGAAGCUGAGGAUUGACUGCAAGCUGGUAGCGGAGCGUUCCGUAAGCCUGCGAAGGGACCGUGAGGGCUGCCUGGAGGUAUCGGAAGUGCGAAUGCUGACAUGAGUAACGACAAAGAGUGUGAGAGACCUCUCGCCGAAAGUCCAAGGGUUCCUGCGUAAAGUUAAUCUGAGCAGGGUUAGCCGGCCCUAAGGCGAGGCCGAAAGGCGUAGUCGAUGGGAACCAGGUUAAUAUUCGUGGCCUGGUGGUAGUGACGGAUGCGUAACUGUGUCGGCUUAUUGGAUUGUCUGGCAGGAGCGGUUCCAGGAAAUAGCUCCACCGUAUAGACCGUACCCGAAACCGACACAGGUGGACAGGUAGAGUAUACCAAGGCGCUUGAGAGAACUAUGCUGAAGGAACUCGGCAAAUUGCCUCGUAACUUCGGAAAGAGGUGCCCCUUGGCGCAAGAUGGGGGGCACAGACCAGGGGGUAGCGACUGUUUAUCAAAAACACAGGCUCUGCGAAGUCGAAAGACGACGUAUAGGUCUGACGCCUGCCCGGUGCUGGAAGGUUAAGAGGAGAGGUGCAAGCUCUGAAUCGAAGCCCCAGUAAACGGCGGCCGUAACUAUAACGGUCCUAAGGUAGCGAAAUUCCUUGUCGGGUAAGUUCCGACCUGCACGAAUGGCGUAACGACUUCCCGCUGUCUCCACAGAGACUCAGUGAAAUUGAAUUCCCGUGAAGAUGCGGGUUCCUGCGGUCAGACGGAAAGACCCCGUGCACCUUUACUAUAGCUUUGCACUGGCAUUCGUGUCGCAUGUGUAGGAUAGGUGGAGGCUUUGAAGCGGGCGCCAGUCUCGUGGAGCCACCUUGAAAUACCACCCUUAUCGUCAUGGAUGUCUAACCGCGCCGUAUCCGGUCCGGGACAGUGUAUGGUGGGUAGUUUGACUGGGGCGGUCGCCUCCCAAAGAGUAACGGAGGCGCGCGAUGGUGGCUCAGACGGUCGGAAAUCGUCGUCGAGUGCAAUGGCAUAAGCCGCCUGACUGCGAGACUGACAAGUCGAGCAGAGACGAAAGUCGGCAUAGUGAUCCGGUGGUCCCGCGUGGAAGGGCCAUCGCUCAACGGAUAAAAGGUACGCCGGGGAUAACAGGCUGAUGACUCCCCAAGAGUCCAUAUCGACGGGGAUGUUUGGCACCUCGAUGUCGGCUCAUCGCAUCCUGGGGCUGGAGAAGGUCCCAAGGGUUCGGCUGUUCGCCGAUUAAAGUGGUACGUGAGCUGGGUUCAGAACGUCGUGAGACAGUUCGGUCCCUAUCUGCCGUGGGUGUAGGAAUUUGAGAGGAUCUGCCCUAGUACGAGAGGACCGGGAUGGACGUACCUCUGGUGGACCUGUUGUCGCGCCAGCGGCAUGCAGGGUAGCUAUGUACGGACGGGAUAACCGCUGAAAGCAUCUAAGCGGGAAACCCACCUCAAAACGAGUAUCUCCCUUGAGAGCCGUGGAAGACGACCACGUUGAUAGGCAGGGUGGAAUGCGGCGACGCAAUGAAAAGCUACCGUACUAAUAGCUCGAAUCGGCUUGAUGUU